UCCUGUUAACCUGCCAGUAACUCAAUAUAACUAAAGAAACACUCUUACAAGCCUAUAUUACGCUUUAUCUACACUUUACAGAGCCUUUUCAAUGUAGUGGUGCAGCGCAGGAGUGUUUCAGAACAUGCCUCCUACUGGAAGUCACUUGGUCACAUUAGUCUCCGUUCCGACACAAGAGAAGGAUGGGAGGAUGGGGGUGGUCUUUCUUCUCUACCAGUGUGUGUGUGUGUGUGUGUGUGUGUGUGAACGUUUCAGAUUAUGGCCCAUAUUGAGACAAAGGACUAACUGCGUGCGUGGUUACAAUGCUCUCUGCUCCGACACUAGGAAAAGAUAUGAAGGAUGAGUGGGGCCUUCCUUCUUAGCAGUGUGUGUAUAUAAGAAGCAUGCACUUCACAGACCUCAGAAUACCCUUGUAGCAGACGAGUGGUGGACGCGUAGCUGACUGCCAAGAGAGGCACUGGUAAUACACAAAGGAGACGAACGCUGCAACGAUACACGCACUCCUGCAAACCCGGACGAAAUGAAGAAAGGAGGGAAAGAGGACCCGGAAGCAUUUGAUAGGCUGCGGAGGUCGUUCAAUGAAUCUCACGUGAAAGGGAAUCACAGACCAGACAAACCAUACAACCAUCAAGGAGAUUUCUUCAACCCAGACCAUCGUGUGCAUUCCCUCAGGCUCUCAGGGGCCCCGAAAGGCAGUCGAGUCGAGGGAACCAUACCAGGCCAGACCAGUGUAGCAGUGCAGAAUGUGAGCUACCGAGAAACAGGCUACAAGCAAAGCAACCGGGAUGGAAUGUCAGACUUUCGGCUUACUGGGAAGAAGGACGGUCAUAGAUUCGAUCCCCAUCAUUUGAACGGACAACUUAAAAGGAGCGUUUGGGAAGAACAGAACAAGACAAAGACGAGAUAUGAGGACCAUAAAGGAUGCAUUUUUUCAGAGUGUAGUAGUUCCGUUAGUGCUGGUAUGUCCGCCGGGUCCUCUAGCAAGAACAAUAUAAAACGGGUUUCCAACAAAGUGAAAACAGAAGAAACAAAUAACUGGUGGAGCAAGCAUUUCUCAAACAAAAGGGAUAAAAUGUAGAAAUGAAAAUUCUGCUUAUUCUUAAUGAUACAGGUAUAUUUUCCUUAUAUUCAGUUAUAUUCUGCAUGUCAUGUAUCACCACCACCACCACUACUGCUAAUAUUAUUAUGUUGUUAGGUUACACUUAUUAAUGUUUUCCUUAUAUUCAGUUAUAUUCUGCAUGUCAUGUAUCACCACCACCACUACUUAUGCUAAUAUGAUUAUGCUGUUAGGUUACACUUAUUAAUAUUUCACUGAUAAGAUUUGUUUUACUGAUGUAUUUAGAGGUAAAUAAAACUCUCUCUCUCUC
Long non-coding RNA from Scylla paramamosain (green mud crab), 1367 nucleotides. RefSeq lists it as uncharacterized. The transcript has 2 exons. The record is from RefSeq and is a predicted model, not a curated record. NCBI's taxonomy places the organism in Eukaryota, Metazoa, Arthropoda, Malacostraca, Decapoda, Portunidae.